UACGUAGGGUGCGAGCGUUGCCCGGAUUUAUUGGGCGUAAAGGGCGCGCAGGCGGCCACGCGCGUCCGUUGUGAAAUCGCUCGGCUCAACUGGGCGAGGUCAGCGGAUACGGCGUGGCUGGAGCAAGCUAGGGGGCAAUGGAAUUCCCGGUGUAGUGGUGGAAUGCGUAGAUAUCGGGAGGAACACCAGUGGCGAAGGCGGUUGCCUGGAGCUUUGCUGACGCUGAGGCGCGAAAGCCAGGGGAGCGAACGGG
RNAcentral lists this ribosomal RNA (253 nucleotides) under uncultured bacterium. RNAcentral's name for it is "partial 16S ribosomal RNA". It matches the Rfam family "Bacterial small subunit ribosomal RNA", at positions 524 to 776 of the family's 1533-position model. The record is from RNAcentral.